RNAcentral lists this ribosomal RNA (1352 nucleotides) under uncultured bacterium. RNAcentral describes it as "bacterial SSU rRNA". It matches the Rfam family "Bacterial small subunit ribosomal RNA", at positions 28 to 1372 of the family's 1533-position model. The record is from RNAcentral.
GAUGAACGCUAGCUACAGGCCUAACACAUGCCUUUCGAGGGGAAACGGCAGCUUAGCUUGCUAAGCUGGACGUCGACCGGCGCACGGGUGAGUAACGCGUAUCCAACCUGCCCCACGGUGAGGGAUAACCCGCGGAAACGCGGCCUAAUACCUCAUGGUCUCCGAGCUUGACAUCAACCUUGGAGUAAAGAUUCAUUGCCGUGGGAUGGGGAUGCGUCUGAUUAGCUUGUUGGCGGGGCAACGGCCCACCAAGGCAACGAUCAGUAGGGGUUCUGAGAGGAAAGCCCCCCACAUUGGAACUGAGACACGGUCCAAACUCCUACGGGAGGCAGCAGUGAGGAAUAUUGGUCAAUGGGCGAGAGCCUGAACCAGCCAAGUAGCGUGCAGGAUGACGGCCCUAUGGGUUGUAAACUGCUUUUAUGCGGGGAUAAAGCGGGCGACGUGUCGCCCUUUGCAGGUACCGCAUGAAUAAGGACCGGCUAAUUCCGUGCCAGCAGCCGCGGUAAUACGGAAGGUCCGGGCGUUAUCCGGAUUUAUUGGGUUUAAAGGGAGCGCAGGCCGGGUAUUAAGCGUGUUGUGAAAUGUAGGCGCCCAACGUCUGCACCGCAGCGCGAACUGGUGCCCUUGAGUACGCACGACGUUGGCGGAAUUUCGCCGUGUAGCGGUGAAAUGCUUAGAUAUGGCGAAGAACUCCGAUUGCGAAGGCAGCUGACGGGAGCGCUACUGACGCUCAUGCUCGAAAGCGCGGGUAUCGAACAGGAUUAGAUACCCUGGUAGUCCGCGCGGUAAACGAUGGAUGCCCGCUAUUUGCGCAUUAGCGCAAGUGGCCAAGUGAAAACGUUAAGCAUCCCACCUGGGGAGUACGCCGGCAACGGUGAAACUCAAAGGAAUUGACGGGGGCCCGCACAAGCGGAGGAACAUGUGGUUUAAUUCGAUGAUACGCGAGGAACCUUACCCGGGCUUGAAUUGCAGAGGAAAGAUCCAGAGAUGGUGAUGCCCUUCGGGGCCUCUGUGAAGGUGCUGCAUGGUUGUCGUCAGCUCGUGCCGUGAGGUGUCGGCUUAAGUGCCAUAACGAGCGCAACCCCUCUCCAUAGUCGCCAUCAGGUAGUGCUGGGCACUCUGUGGACACUGCCACCGUAAGGUGCGAGGAAGGUGGGGAUGACGUCAAGUCAGCACGGCCCUUACGUCCGGGGCUACACACGUGUUACAAUGGGGGGUACAGAGAGUCGGGACAACGCGAGUUGCCCCCAAUCAUCAAAGCCCCCCUCAGUUCGGACUGGGGUCUGCAACCCGACCCCACGAAGUUGGAUUCGCUAGUAAUCGCGCAUCAGCCAUGGCGCGGUGAAUACGUU